AGAGUUUGAUCCUGGCUCAGGAUGUAUAAAAAAAAGGGCAGGCCUAAUACAUGCAAGCUGAACGGUAAAUGUCAUAGCAAUAUAAUAUGAGAGUAGCGUAAGGGUGCGUAACACGUAUGCAAUCUACCCGCAACAGGAGGAUAGCUCCCCGAAAGGGGAAUUAAUACUCCAUAAGAUCACGAGAGGGCAUCUGAUUGUGAUUAAACUCCAAGGGGUUGUGGAUGAGCAUGCGCAUGAUUAGUUAGUUGGCGGGGUAACGGCCCACCAAGACGAUGAUCAUUAGGGGAACUGAGAGGUUGAUCCCCCACACUGGCACUGAGAUACGGGCCAGACUCCUACGGGAGGCAGCAGUAGGGAAUAUUGGUCAAUGGGUGAGAGCCUGAACCAGCCAUGCCGCGUGCAGGAAGACGGCCUUCUGGUUUGUUUACUGCUUUUAUCUGGGGAUAAAAUAUCCUUGCGAGGAGAAUUGAAGGUACCAGAGGAAUAAGCCACGGCUAACUACGUGCCAGCAGCCGCGGUAAUACGUAGGUGGCUAGCGGAUGUCCUGAUUCAUAUAUGGUGGUUUUAAAGGGUGGGCCUAAGGCGCCUCUUUGUGUAAAUGUUUCAUCUGGGUGGGAAAUAUUUCCGCGCGCAGGGUCUCCAACUCGUGUCGCGAGGGUGCCACUUGAUACUUUGGCAGGAGGGCUAGGAGUUCUGAUUGAGGGGUAGGGCCGGGAAUGGGACGGUGGUAUCCGGGUGAAAAUGCUUUGAUAUUUCGUUCCAGAACCCCCCGAUAGCGAAAGGCCAGGCUUACUUAAAGGAGUGUACUGACCGCUGGAGGCACCGAAAGUGUGGGGAUUCAAACCAGGAUUUAGAUUACCCUUGGUAGUUCACACACUUGUUAAAACGGUGAUUACACUAGAUGUUUGGCCGAAUCACACUGGCCAACGAUUCCAGCAAAAGCGAUAAGUGAUCCACCUGGGGAGUACCGCCCGCAAAGGGUGAAACUCAAAGGAAUUGAACGGAGGGUCCGCCCACAAGCGGUGGGAGCAUGUGGUUUAAAUUCGAUGGUACGCGAGGAACCUUACCUGGGCUAGAAAUGCCCCUUGACCGAUCCAGAGAUGGAUUUUUUUCGCAAGAACAAGGAGCAAGGUGCUGCAUGGCUGUCGUCAGCUCGUGCCGUGAGGUGUUGGGUUAAGUCCCGCAACGAGCGCAACCCCUAUCUUUAGUUGCCAGCACGUAAUGGUGGGGACUCUAGAGAGACUGCCUGCGCAAGCAGAGAGGAAGGAGGGGAUGACGUCAAGUCAUCAUGGCCCUUACGCCCAGGGCUACACACGUGCUACAAUGGCGUAUACAAAGUGUUGCAAGCCAGCGAUGGUAAGCCAAUCACAAAAAGUACGUCUCAGUUCGGAUUGCAGGCUGCAACUCGCCUGCAUGAAGUUGGAAUCGCUAGUAAUCGCAGAUCAGCAAUGCUGCGGUGAAUACGUUCCCGGACCUUGUACACACCGCCCGUCAAGCGAUGGAAGUUUGGAGGACAGGGAAGACAGUUGUUGCAAGACGCUGUUUAGGGUUAACCUUUUUACUGGCGCUAAGUCGUAACAAGGUAACC
RNAcentral lists this ribosomal RNA (1588 nucleotides) under uncultured bacterium. RNAcentral describes it as "bacterial SSU rRNA". It matches the Rfam family "Bacterial small subunit ribosomal RNA". The record is from RNAcentral.